AUUGAACGCUGGCGGCAUGCCUUACACAUGCAAGUCGAACGGCAGCACGGGAGCAAUCCUGGUGGCGAGUGGCGAACGGGUGAGUAAUGUAUCGGAACGUGCCCAGUCGUGGGGGAUAACGUAGCGAAAGCUACGCUAAUACCGCAUACGAUCUAUGGAUGAAAGCGGGGGAUCGCAAGACCUCGCGCGAUUGGAGCGGCCGAUAUCAGAUUAGGUAGUUGGUGGGGUAAAGGCUCACCAAGCCGACGAUCUGUAGCUGGUCUGAGAGGACGGCCAGCCACACGGGGACUGAGACACGGCCCAGACUCCUACGGGAGGCAGCAUUGGGGAAUUUUGGACAAUGGGCGCAAGCCUGAUCCAGCAAUGCCGCGUGCAGGAUGAAGGCCUUCGGGUUGUAAACUGCUUUUGUACGGAACGAAACGGCGAGCUCUAAUACAGUUUGCUAAUGACGGUACCGUAAGAAUAAGCACCGGCUAACUACGUGCCAGCCGCCGCGGUAA
Molecule: ribosomal RNA, 500 nt
Filed under: uncultured bacterium
Lineage: Bacteria
Description: partial 16S ribosomal RNA
Rfam family: Bacterial small subunit ribosomal RNA
Source: RNAcentral